GAUGAACGCUGGCGGCGUGCCUAACACAUGCAAGUCGAACGGAGUCCAGCCUUUAAGACCUUCGGGUCAAAGAGGGGAAGACUGAGUGGCGGACGGGUGAGUAACACGUGGGCAACCUGGCUCAUAGAGGGGGAUAACAGAGAGAAAUUUCUGCUAAUACCGCAUAAGCACACACUGCCGCAUGGCAGAGGGUGAAAAGAGAAUCGCUAUGAGAUGGACCCGCGUCUGAUUAGCCAGUUGGCAGGGUAAGAGCCCACCAAAGCGACGAUCAGUAGCCGAUCUGAGAGGAUGAACAGCCACAUUGGGACUGAGACACGGCCCAAACUCCUACGGGAGGCAGCAGUGGGGGAUAUUGCACAAUGGGGGGAACCCUGAUGCAGCGACGCCGCGUGAGUGAAGAAGUAUUUCGGUAUGUAAAGCGCUAUCAGCAGGGAAGAUAAUGACAGUACCUGAAUAAGAAGCCCCGGCUAACUACGUG
Molecule: ribosomal RNA, 478 nt
Filed under: uncultured bacterium
Lineage: Bacteria
Description: partial 16S ribosomal RNA
Rfam family: Bacterial small subunit ribosomal RNA
Source: RNAcentral